UGGAUUGGACCAAAUGAAAUAGUUUAGGGGAGUAAAGUAAGACUAAAUUUUAUUCAGGGGGUUAAGCAGAUAAAGUGGAUAUGUGAGGGGAGUAAAAUUGACUUUCUCCUUUUAAAUUAUUUUUAUAAUGGUAUAAAUGGGUAAUUUUGAUGAAGAUUAGGGGGUUACUUUAGUUUAUUUUAUAUAAUGACAGAUGUUGGUAAUUUAGAUAUAAAUUUAGGGGUUAUUUUAGGCUAUUUUUAUAAUAGCAUAGGUGGUUAAUUUUUUAGAAAAUAUAAUAGAUCCAAUGACUAUGAUGAUUUGAAUCUACCGAUGGUCGGAUGAGUUAGCUUUUUUAUAAGAAUUUGUAGAAUUUCUCUUUUU
RNAcentral lists this long non-coding RNA (363 nucleotides) under Setaria viridis. RNAcentral's name for it is "long non-coding RNA (SVIR_LNC008244)". Lineage: Eukaryota; Viridiplantae; Streptophyta; Magnoliopsida; Poales; Poaceae. The record is from RNAcentral.